Long non-coding RNA from Strongylocentrotus purpuratus (purple sea urchin), 463 nucleotides. RefSeq lists it as uncharacterized. The record is from RefSeq and is a predicted model, not a curated record. NCBI's taxonomy places the organism in Eukaryota, Metazoa, Echinodermata, Echinoidea, Camarodonta, Strongylocentrotidae. The transcript is spliced from 4 exons.
GUAAACUUUUUUUGUUAAAGGGGUAUUGAAAAUGAGUAUUUUUCAAAAUAGCGCCCUCUACAGGUCAAAUAUUUUUAGUGCAUGUAAACUGAAUGCAACUGUAAACUCUAAAAUGGGAGACAGACUCACAGUGAAGCCUUUAAAAUCGGAUGUACCUGCAGCCUUUGUAAAAAGAUUCACGAUAAAGGAUUGAUCACAGGAGAUCUAUAAUGAAUGCAAUAGAUAGUUGGAAGUUUCUUGCAGAAAUCCUGGCAUGACCUUUGGCUGCAUUCUGCAUGGUGGAGAGUGCAGUGUGAUCUGAAUACAUGGUUGCACUAUGCAGUAAAAGGAAUUCUGCAGUUGGAAUUACCAUUGACUGCGAAAUGUGGAGGCAAUCUGGUGAAUAUUGAAAACCCAAAGUAACUACUACUUCUCCAGCAGCAAGGGCUAUAUGAUUUCACAGUUGGUGGAGAUGUCCUAAACU